GCGGCGUGCCUACACAUGCGAGUCCNACGAGAAAGCCCCUUCGGGGGUGAGUAGAGUGGCGCACGGGUGAGUAACACGUGGAUAAUCUGCCUGAUAAUUUGGGAUAACACUCCGAAAGGAAUGCUAAUACCGGAUAAGCCCACAGCCUCCUCGGAGGCAGCGGGAAAAGAUGGCCUCUUCAUGAAAGCUAUUGUUAUCAGAUGAGUCCGCGGUCCAUUAGCUAGUUGGUAGGGUAAUGGCCUACCAAGGCAACGAUGGAUAGCUGGUUUGAGAGAAUGAUCAGCCACACUGGAACUGAGACACGGUCCAGACUCCUACGGGAGGCAGCAGUGGGGAAUUUUGCGCAAUGGGGGCAACCCUGACGCAGCAACGCCGCGUGAGUGAUGAAGGUUUUCGGAUCGUAAAGCUCUGUCAGGAGGGAAGAAACCUCAAUAGUUUAAUAAACUAUUGAAUUGACGGUACCUCCAGAGGAAGCACCGGCUAACUCCGUGCCAGCAGCCGCGGUAAUACGGAGGGUGCGAGCGUUGUUCGGAAUUAUUGGGCGUAAAGCGCGUGUAGGCGGUAAGUUAAGUCUGAUGUGAAAGCCCCGGGCUCAACCUGGGAAGUGCAUUGGAAACUGGCAAACUUGAGUACGGGAGAGGGAAGUGGAAUUUCGAGUGUAGGGGUGAAAUCCGUAGAUAUUCGAAGGA
Molecule: ribosomal RNA, 689 nt
Filed under: uncultured delta proteobacterium
Lineage: Bacteria; Deltaproteobacteria
Description: bacterial SSU rRNA
Rfam family: Bacterial small subunit ribosomal RNA
Source: RNAcentral